GACGAACGCUGGCGGCGUGCCUAAUACAUGCAAGUUGAGCGAUGAAGAUUGGUGCUUGCACCCAUUUGAAGAGCAGCGAACGGGUGAGUAACGCGUGGGGAAUCUGCCUUUGAGCGGGGGACAACAUUUGGAAACGAAUGCUAAUACCGCAUAACAACUUUAAACAUAAGUUUUAAGUUUGAAAGAUGCAAUUGCAUCACUCAAAGAUGAUCCCGCGUUGUAUUAGCUAGUUGGUGAGGUAAAGGCUCACCAAGGCGAUGAUACAUAGCCGACCUGAGAGGGUGAUCGGCCACAUUGGGACUGAGACACGGCCCAAACUCCUACGGGAGGCAGCAGUAGGGAAUCUUCGGCAAUGGACGAAGGUCUGACCGAGCAACGCCGCGUGAGUGAAGAAGGUUUUCGGAUCGUAAAACUCUGUUGGUAGAGAAGAACGUUGGUGAGAGUGGAAAGCUCAUCAAGUGACGGUAACUACCCAGAAAGGGACGGCUAACUACGUG
This 497-nucleotide ribosomal RNA is filed under the name uncultured bacterium. RNAcentral's name for it is "partial 16S ribosomal RNA". It matches the Rfam family "Bacterial small subunit ribosomal RNA", at positions 28 to 507 of the family's 1533-position model. The record is from RNAcentral.